This is a non-coding RNA of Alphaproteobacteria bacterium 65-37, 53 nucleotides long. The record is from Rfam. NCBI's taxonomy places the organism in Bacteria, Pseudomonadati, Pseudomonadota, Alphaproteobacteria.
CCGCGGGCCACGCUCCCCCACCGGAGUGCAGCUCUUCUGUAAGGGAGAGGUUA